Molecule: transfer RNA, 84 nt
Filed under: Nanobdellota archaeon
Lineage: Archaea; Nanobdellati; Nanobdellota
Also listed under: 1 other name
Description: tRNA-Leu
Rfam family: tRNA
About the family: Transfer RNA (tRNA) molecules are approximately 80 nucleotides in length. Their secondary structure includes four short double-helical elements and three loops (D, anti-codon, and T loops).
Source: RNAcentral
GAGGGGGUGUCGGAGUGGCCAAACGAGCAGGAUUUAAGCUCCUGUGGCUUAGUGCCUACGCAGGUUCGAAUCCUGUCCCCCUCA